RNAcentral lists this ribosomal RNA (612 nucleotides) under Filobasidium magnum. Its description in RNAcentral is "eukaryotic LSU rRNA". It matches the Rfam family "Eukaryotic large subunit ribosomal RNA", at positions 54 to 652 of the family's 3401-position model. Lineage: Eukaryota; Fungi; Basidiomycota; Tremellomycetes; Filobasidiales; Filobasidiaceae. The record is from RNAcentral.
AGGAAAAGAAACUAACAAGGAUUCCCCUAGUAACGGCGAGUGAAGCGGGAAGAGCUCAAAUUUGAAAUCUGGUGGCCUCAGGUCAUCCGAGUUGUAAUCUAUAGAAGUGUUUUCCGUGCUGGCUCAUGUACAAGUCCCUUGGAACAGGGCGUCAUAGAGGGUGAGAAUCCCGUCCUUGACAUGAACUACCAGUGCUCUGUGAUACAUUUUCAACGAGUCGAGUUGUUUGGGAAUGCAGCUCAAAAUGGGUGGUAAAUUCCAUCUAAAGCUAAAUAUUGGCGAGAGACCGAUAGCGAACAAGUACCGUGAGGGAAAGAUGAAAAGCACUUUGGAAAGAGAGUUAAACAGUAUGUGAAAUUGUUGAAAGGGAAACGAUUGAAGUCAGUCGUGCUCUUUGGAUUCAGCCGGUUCUGCCGGUGUACUUCCUUUGAGUGGGGUCAACAUCAGUUUUGAUCGCUGGAUAAAGGCUGGAGGAACGUAGUACCCUCGGGUAAACUUAUAGCCUCCUGUCACAUACAGUGGUUGGGACUGAGGAACGCAGCACGCCUUUAUGGCCGGGAUUCGUCCACGUACGUGCUUAGGAUGUUGACAUAAUGGCUUUAAACGACCCGU